Molecule: long non-coding RNA, 384 nt
Organism: Oreochromis aureus
Lineage: Eukaryota; Metazoa; Chordata; Actinopteri; Cichliformes; Cichlidae
Source: Ensembl
GUCAGGAGAGAAUGGAGCCAGCUAAGAAGAGGAGGAUGUCCUCCCCUGUGUGGGAACAUUUUGAUCUUAUUCCUCCCAACAAGUGUUUGCUAUGUGCCAGGGAGCUGGGAUAUAACAACAACACCUCAUCCAUGCUUAGGCACUACAGAGCUUUGCAUGAGAAUAAGGGGAACACCGAUUGUGGAGCAAGACCAGGAGAACAAUCUCAAAUAGAUGAAGACCUGGGGUCCGUUCUUCGUACCUCGCUAAGUAAGUUAGCUGGAUUUGAUUGUUGACGAUUUCGCGUGAUCUUGGAUCGUUCGGUUCUCCGAAGCUCAUCCGGGACUUGCUGUCAUAGCAACAGAUCAGUGGCGUAAACCUGCUCGGGAGCAGGUUUACUUUAUG